RNAcentral lists this ribosomal RNA (116 nucleotides) under Bacillus subtilis. RNAcentral also lists the same sequence under 7 other names. Lineage: Bacteria; Bacillati; Bacillota; Bacilli; Caryophanales; Bacillaceae. The record is from RNAcentral.
UUUGGUGGCGAUAGCGAAGAUGUCACACCCGUUCCCAUACCGAACACGGAAGUUAAGCUCUUCAGCGCCGAUGGUAGUCGGGGGUUUCCCCCUGUGAGAGUAGGACGCCGCCAAGC